GAUAGAUUCUUCUCUCUCUGGUGUCAUUGGGCCACAGGGCCCCAUUUCUGCAAUUUAGCUACAGAUGUUCUUUGUUUGUACCAACCAAGACAAAGGGACAACUCUUCUCUUAUGAAAGCUUCACAGGGAGACAGCCUCCAUAACCCGCCAGAGGAGAUCCUUUCAAUGCUUUCUCACUCAAAUCUUGCAAAGACCUUCUUUUGUCCAAUGGCAAGCGCUCUGGAUAUGACUUGAACAUGCUUCCUUUUGUUUCUCUAUAGACAUGGAGUAUAAUCGUUUAUUUAUUUGAUUAUUUAUAGUGUUUACAGAAGAAAUCUCAGUGGACUAAAGAGCUAUGCUCAAGUCAUUCUCUUCUGUAGGUAAACACCUCCAGUUCCUUUAACCUUUCCUUGCAGUAACUCUUUCUCAUCCCUUUAAUCGCGUUGGCUGUUCGUCUCUUGCCAAAAGAAGAGAGAGCAGAUUAAUUCAUGCCGGGGCAUGAGGAAUCUCUGUUGAUAUGUGCGCUGUGCAUGUGACUCCCAGCAGUCUGACUUCACGGACAGCGUCUAUUUCUGGAACAUGCAAAGUAUGGCAGGAGAGAAUGUCAAAGCAUCCGACAGCCAAAAGGUGGCGCUCCUCACCCACCAUUCAUUUCCUUCCAAGAUUUGCCUGGCCCCUCAACACUAUUGCGGGCACCUCCUGUUGGGGCAUGGCAUGAAUUGGGUGCAGCAUGACGGCAAAAUGGCGUUGGAUUCGAGAAGGAAUUCAAGGACACGUCGCUGAGAAUGAAAUCGGAGCAGCACUUUGGAAAGAAGGAAGCCCCCAGUUGUUUGAUGCAGGAUGCGUGGAAUUCAUUUUCUCUUUCAAGUGUUAGUUGCCUCAAGAGAAAAAGGACCAAAAAUAUGGCAUCUCCUUGGGUACUUGAUCACCAUGCACAUGUGACGAGACAGAGAAAGAGCUGGAGAGGCAGAGCACAAGGGGGGAGAGGGAGGGGAACACUGAUUCAUUAUUCAGGUCCUUGGGAGUCUCUUGGUGGUUUAUUUAUUGUGAGGAGCCAGAAAACAAAUCCAUUCUAAACUUUCUCCUUUCCUGGCAGAUUUUUCAAAGCUGAGCUUUCUCUGCUGACUGUGCAUGUCCUUUUAUCAUGUGUUUGGUUUUCCAAUAUCAAGCCAUUUCACAAAGAAGAGAGAACAUUUACUUUCAAUUAAUAAGCCACCCGGCAAUUACCCUUUGCUCAUAAGCAUGUGAAUGCUUCUGUGUGCGCAGAUGAUAGCUUCCACAUUAAACAGCUGUCCCCAGUAGCUUCAAAAGGCUGUCCCCCCUCCUCACGGUGUUUUCCAAUUCGCCUUCUUCCCCGGCACCAAGGUUAUGCCUGCUCACUGGAAGGUCUGCAGAUGGACACCCUCAUGGCUAUGAAUACACAUUUCAUAUUCACUUACAAACCAAGAAUACAUAUUUUGUUUUCAAUGCCUUGUGAAGAUUUUUGUCUUUGACACCUGUAAAUUGGGCGACUUACUCUCACUGAUCCUAAUGGCUGUCUUCUUGUAUAAAGUAUAAUUAUGCUUUGAAAAGGAGCAGUCAUUGGUUUCAACGAAAUGAGUGGUUAUUUUGAAGACAGUUGGUCCUCUGGGCUAAUUCUCUUGGUUGUGUCUAUGUUUGAAGCUUCAGGACUGUGUAGAUACAGAACGACUUGUAAAUUCCUUGAGCGCAGUUCUGACUUCUCUCAUCUUUGCAUUCGCGUAAGAAAACAGUCAGGAACGUAAUAGGCCAUGAUAUCCCUAUCUAGAUACAGGUAUAAAUAAAGAGGUAAUAUAGAGAACUAUAUUUAAGCUG
RNAcentral lists this long non-coding RNA (1812 nucleotides) under Felis catus (domestic cat). RNAcentral's name for it is "lncRNA (ENSFCAG00000044278.2)". Lineage: Eukaryota; Metazoa; Chordata; Mammalia; Carnivora; Felidae. The record is from RNAcentral.